CACGCAGUAAACGAUGAAUACUAGUUGUUUGCGAUAUACAGUAAGUAACACAGCGAAAGCGUUAAGUAUUCCACCUGGGGAGUACGUUCGCAAGAAUGAAACUCAAAGGAAUUGACGGGGGCCCGCACAAGCGGAGGAACAUGUGGUUUAAUUCGAUGAUACGCGAGGAACCUUACCCGGGCUUGAAAUGCAGAGGAAUGAUGUGGAAACAUGUCCGCCAGCAAUGGUCUCUGUGUAGGUGC
RNAcentral lists this ribosomal RNA (242 nucleotides) under uncultured Porphyromonadaceae bacterium. RNAcentral describes it as "partial 16S ribosomal RNA". It matches the Rfam family "Bacterial small subunit ribosomal RNA", at positions 796 to 1041 of the family's 1533-position model. Lineage: Bacteria; Pseudomonadati; Bacteroidota; Bacteroidia; Bacteroidales; Porphyromonadaceae. The record is from RNAcentral.